GAUGAUCAGCCACAUCGGGACUGAGACACGGCCCGAACUCCUACGGGAGGCAGCAGUGGGGAAUAUUGGACAAUGGGCGAAAGCCUGAUCCAGCCAUGCCGCGUGUGUGAAGAAGGCCCUCGGGUUGUAAAGCACUUUCAGCGAGGAAGAACGCCUAGUGGUUAAUACCCACUAGGAAAGACAUCACUCGCAGAAGAAGCACCGGCUAACUCCGUGCCAGCAGCCGCGGUAAUACGGAGGGUGCAAGCGUUAAUCGGAAUUACUGGGCGUAAAGCGCGCGUAGGUGGCUUGAUAAGCCGGUUGUGAAAGCCCCGGGCUCAACCUGGGAACGGCAUCCGGAACUGUCAAGCUAGAGUGCAGGAGAGGAAGGUAGAAUUCCCGGUGUAGCGGUGAAAUGCGUAGAGAUCGGGAGGAAUACCAGUGGCGAAGGCGGCCUUCUGGACUGACACUGACACUGAGGUGCGAAAGCGUGGGUAGCAAACAGGAUUAGAUACCCUGGUAGUCCACGCCGUAAACGAUGUCGACCAGCCGUUGGGUGCCUAGCGCACUUUGUGGCGAAGUUAACGCGAUAAGUCGACCGCCUUGGGGAGUACGGCCGCAAGGUUAAAACUCAAAUGAAUUGACGGGGGCCCGCACAAGCGGUGGAGCAUGUGGUUUAAUUCGAUGCAACGCGAAGAACCUUACCUACUCUUGACAUCCUGCGAACUUGUGAGAGAUCACUUGGUGCCUUCGGGAACGCAGAGACAGGUGCUGCAUGGCUGUCGUCAGCUCGUGUUGUGAAAUGUUGGGUUAAGUCCCGUAACGAGCGCAACCCUUGUCCUUAUUUGCCAGCGCGUAAUGGCGGGAACUCUAAGGAGACUGCCGGUGACAAACCGGAGGAAGGUGGGGACGACGUCAAGUCAUCAUGGCCCUUACGAGUAGGGCUACACACGUGCUACAAUGGCCGGUACAAAGGGUUGCGAGCUCGCGAGAGUCAGCUAAUCCCGAAAAGCCGGUCUCAGUCCGGAUCGGAGUCUGCAACUCGACUCCGUGAAGUCGGAAUCGCUAGUAAUCGUGAAUCAGAAUGUCACGGUGAAUACGUUCCCGGGCCUUGUACACACCGCCCGUCACACCAUGGGAGUGGACUGCACCAGAAGUGGUUAGCUUAACCUUCGGGAAAGCGAUCA
RNAcentral lists this ribosomal RNA (1166 nucleotides) under Halomonas sp. ABR1. Its description in RNAcentral is "bacterial SSU rRNA". It matches the Rfam family "Bacterial small subunit ribosomal RNA", at positions 299 to 1456 of the family's 1533-position model. Lineage: Bacteria; Pseudomonadati; Pseudomonadota; Gammaproteobacteria; Oceanospirillales; Halomonadaceae. The record is from RNAcentral.